This 770-nucleotide ribosomal RNA is filed under the name Aeromonas sp. FPW52. RNAcentral describes it as "bacterial SSU rRNA". It matches the Rfam family "Bacterial small subunit ribosomal RNA", at positions 69 to 830 of the family's 1533-position model. The record is from RNAcentral. Lineage: Bacteria; Pseudomonadati; Pseudomonadota; Gammaproteobacteria; Aeromonadales; Aeromonadaceae.
GUUGAGUAGCUUGCUACUCUUUGCCGGCCUGCGCCCACCGGGUGAGUAAUGCCUGGGGAUCUGCCCAGUCCAGGUGCAUAACCCCGGAGAACGACUGCUAAUUCCGCAUACGUUUCAAGGGGGAAAGCAGGGCACCUGCGGGCAUUGCGCGAUUUUAUUCACCCGGGUGCGAUUCGCUGGUUGAAGUGGUAAUGUCUCUUCCCGCCGCCGCUCCCCUUGUGGGCUGAGAGGAUGCUCCGCCCCUCUGAUCCUAACCAUGGAUCAACACUUCAACGGGAGGCAGCAGUGGGGAAUAUUGCACAAUGGGGGAAACCCUGAUGCAGCCAUGCCGCGUGUGUGAAGAAGGCCUUCGGGUUGUAAAGCACUUUCAGCGAGGAGGAAAGGUUGGUAGCGAAUAACUGCCAGCUGUGACGUUACUCGCAGAAGAAGCACCGGCUAACUCCGUGCCAGCAGCCGCGGUAAUACGGAGGGUGCAAGCGUUAAUCGGAAUUACUGGGCGUAAAGCGCACGCAGGCGGUUGGAUAAGUUAGAUGUGAAAGCCCCGGGCUCAACCUGGGAAUUGCAUUUAAAACUGUCCAGCUAGAGUCUUGUAGAGGGGGGUAGAAUUCCAGGUGUAGCGCUGAAAUGCGUAGAGAUCUGGAGGAAUACCGGUGGCGAAGGCGGCCCUCUGGACAAAGACUGACGCUCAAGUGCGAAAGCUGUGAGGAGCAAACAGGAUGAUAUACCCUGGUAGUCCACGCCGUAAAUGAUGUCGAUGUGGAGCUGUGUCC